This 886-nucleotide long non-coding RNA is filed under the name Chinchilla lanigera (long-tailed chinchilla). RNAcentral describes it as "lncRNA (ENSCLAG00000027078.1)". The record is from RNAcentral. Lineage: Eukaryota; Metazoa; Chordata; Mammalia; Rodentia; Chinchillidae.
UUGGCUAUCACAUGAGCUCAGGUGUGCAGAACAUGAGCAGCCCCCCUUGAGCCUCGCUUGCUUCCAGGAGCUGAAGGGAUUUGUGCCAGAAAAGGAGAAGCUGGACCUGCAGGGACUUUCUCUUGCUCCUUUUUGUCACUCAGCCUGUAAGUAGCACUUCUAUGGCCAGAUGAACAAGUGCCGAAAGAGACAGGCUUCUAGCUCCCAGGAUAAACCUCUCCUUUGUCCUUUAUGCUCAGGGAGCUCAGAACUGUAGCUGAAACUUUCAGUAAGGCCAGCCUAAGGUGUGAGGCAUGCCACACACCCACAGAGCUUCCGGGUGAGCCUUAGGACUUCCUCCACUGUGGAUGUCACCAUGAAGGUGGCGUCAUGCUGAGAGCUGAUGCUCUGUGCGGCACCUGGAGUUGGAGGAGGAAGAGCAGAGUCCAGGGAAGAAGGUACCCAGCAUUUAGGCACGGGAGUUUCCAGCCUCUUUCACAUCCCUGGGCACUGGCUAUGCUGGGGCCUGCACCAAGCCGGGAGAGGUCACCUGAGGCCUUUGCAGUGGAGUUCCAGCAGUCCAGAAGGAAAAAACAUCCAGAAAUCAAUCAGGGAGCAUUAACAGACUGUGCUUGUUAACCACCUAACACACAGUAUCUAUCCAAACUGGAAUUGCUGGAUCACAUGGAGAUUCUGAGGGACGUCUGUACUGUUUCCUGUUUCCCAUCCCUACCAGCGAUGCAGCAUCACAUCAUGCAGUAGUGCCUGGUUAUUCCUCUGACAAACAGCAGGACACAGAGGUGGCCCUGCUUGUUGAGAUCACAAGGUUGGGAAGGCUCUGUACAAGCACACACUAAUGGAUGGCUAUGUAAUCGCGGUUAUUUAAGAAUAAAAUACAAUUUCUUUG